UGAAAGUUUCAAAGGUAAGUAAGGCAUUCCUUAUUAAUGUGGAAUAAUACUUAGAAUGCUAAUAACAUCAAAUAUAUUACACAAAUGCAUUUUGCAUAAAAGUUCCAACUUUAAAAUAUUUCAACUGGAUUAGCUAUAGAAACAUUUCAGUUUUCCACUAGAGGAUCCAUGAUUAAAUCUGGAUCUUGAACUUCAAAUUUAUCGGAAAGUUAUGGCUUGGCUAUUGAUUCCCCAUUCUCUAUAAUCUAGUUGAACUUUAACAAUGUAACCAAAUGGCUUUAUGAUAUAAUGUUAGCUGAAAACACAGAGUACAGGAUUCAGUUCUGGAUUCCAUACCUCCAAAUGUUUUCAGGAGGGACCUAGCUUGUUUUAUAGCAUAUCCUUCAAACCACAUUGCUUCUCACUAGUUCAUCAUAUUAGUUGCUUAGAAACAUUUUGUACCUAGAUCAAAUCUGGGAUCUUACAUCCCCAAAUUUGAAUGGUUCAGUCUCAACCUAUUAAUUUCUCUCAUCCUUUGCAGUCCAGCUGAUCUCUCUACAAGUGGACAACUUAUGGGAAGCCUGAAAUAACCCUGCCUGAUGAUAAUUUACAAGAUUGGAAAAUGAUGGAAAAAAGACAAAAAAAGGGGGAAGGCCCACUUUACCUUGGGUAUGGAUAGCUGUUUAGUAUCUGAUAGAAAGCAAAAUAGAGCAAGAGCAUUCAAACAGAGCAGGUAUCAACGUUUAUUGGGAACAUUUUUUCUAAUUUUUAUGCCUUUUUCCAAUGAGAGAUUAUUAAAUGGCAAAGCAUUUCAAAGGCAUCCUAUGGACUGUCCACACUGUGAUUACGUUAACCAACAGAUUUUUAAGAAUGAAAAUUAAUGGAUUAGAUUUAAAUUUUUUUUUAAAUAUGGAAGUAUGGGAGUUGGAAUUAAAAUCUGGAUUCUUCAGUUGGCAAAUGAUAAAUUUAUUGCCUAGUUAACCUGGAAGAAAGUCUAUGUAAUGCUUCCACAUUGUGCCUUAUUUAUUUAGAACUUUCUUUAAGAAAAUUACUUUUUUUAAGUUGUAUUAUGACAGUUAACAUUAAUUAUUGAUAUAAUUUAG
RNAcentral lists this long non-coding RNA (1082 nucleotides) under Androctonus crassicauda. The record is from RNAcentral. Lineage: Eukaryota; Metazoa; Arthropoda; Arachnida; Scorpiones; Buthidae.